AUUUGAGCGAAACUUGGAAUAACUCGCUCUUUCCUGAUAAACUAAUUUAGCACAUAAAUGUACUUUGGUAAAUAUAGAAACUUAAAGAUGCAGCUGGGGGUGGUGUUCAUUUAGUUAAUACCAUGGAACUACCAAAUGGUAUAAUCUUGGAAAAAAUCGUGGGUUGAGAUAUCAUUGUCUGUGUUGCAGUAUUUUAAACUAGGACAAAAAUAGAAGUCCUACAGUUUCUAUUUUCUUCAAACAGUUACUCGCUGGAAGUGGUGGGAAUCAUAAAAAACAACCAGGACCUUGCAUCCUAGUAUAGAAGCCACAACUGUGGAAGCUUAACAGCCAGGCAAAUGCCCACAAACCACCACCCUCUGCAUUGGAUGCAUAUGUCCCUGACCUCGCAAGUGAAAAAGAGAGGAAGACGGCGACACCUCCAGGCUUCAGACUCAUUAAUCCUGUGAAUCGUGACCCACUCUUAAAACCAAGGUUGAAUGAGUUGAAUCCCUACCCCCAAAAGAUAUGAAGUCUUAACCCCUGGUACGUGUGGUUGUGACUUAUUUGGAAAUAGGAUCUUUGCAGAUAUAAACAAGUUAAGAUGAGGUCAGUAGGAUGGACUCUAAUCUAGUACAAUUGAUAUCCUUAUAGGAAGAGGGAAGUUUGGACACAGACACACACAGACAAGAGAAUACCAUGUGACAAAGGCAGAGAUUGGAAUGAUACAGCUGCAAGCCAGGGAUGCCAAGGAUUGCAGGUGAAGAGUCAAGGAAGGAUUCUACCCAGAGUUGCACGGCCUUAUUGACACCUUGAUUUGGGCUUCUAGACUCCAGAAUCAUGACAGAAUAAAUUUAUCUGUGUGGAUGUGUGUGUGUGUGUGUGUGUGUGUGUGUGUGUGUGUGUUUUCCUAAAAAAGAGACAAGGUCUCAUUCUAUCCCCCAGGAUGGAGUGCAGUGUCAUGAUCAUAGCUCACUGCAGCCUCGAUCUCCUGGACUCAAAGCAUCUUCCCACCCCAGCCUCCCAGGAAUCUGGGACUACAGGUGUGAACCACUGUGCCGGCUCUGUUGAUUUAAGCCACCGAGUUUGUGGAACUUUGUUAUGGCAGUUCUAGAAAAUGAAUAUAAUAAUUAAAAUGAAAGUU
Molecule: long non-coding RNA, 1123 nt
Filed under: Homo sapiens (human)
Lineage: Eukaryota; Metazoa; Chordata; Mammalia; Primates; Hominidae
Description: HSALNT0368765
Source: RNAcentral